Molecule: long non-coding RNA, 1053 nt
Organism: Tachyglossus aculeatus (Australian echidna)
Lineage: Eukaryota; Metazoa; Chordata; Mammalia; Monotremata; Tachyglossidae
Exons: 3
Source: RefSeq, a predicted model, not a curated record
UUCUCCCCGUAACAUUUCCCCCUACGUUCUGACUACUGGCCGGUGUUGAGUUCCUCAAGCCCUACGGGGAGGAAAGCUAGGUUUCGGUCCCCUUCCUCUCCUCCUGAAGUCGACAGGAUGGAGGAGAGGGAUGGGAGGAGGUGAGGGGCCAGAGGCAAGGUCUCGGAAGGGGACAGCCUGGAGACCUCCCGGCUGGCUGACGACCGACACCGAGCUUCCGGACGGAUCACCCGGAGUCUUUAAAAGCCCCAGGAGGGAAUGGGGCCCCGCAGAAGCAGACGGCAGAGCGAGUGGGAGACACGGACAGACCAGCUGCUAGCGCUUAACGGCCCCCGUGCCUGGUGAGGAAGGGGCCGCGGAGGGGCAGACAAAGAUGGCUGCGUUUGGACUGGACGAACCUCUCGCAAAGUAAAGGGAUUGAGGGUGUGGAGAAGCAGGCCGGGGCCUGAAAAGGAAAAGGAAGAGGAAAGUGCUUUAGGAGUUGAGAAUCAGUAAGCGCUCAAUAAAUCAGGAGAACGGUUCAUCGUCGUGACCGGCUGUCAAGCGAGGCCAAGUCCUGACGUUUUCCGACGUUGGAAAACCGGCUCGUCGGAAGAAGGGGCAAGCUGAGCACGUGACCCCAAAGCUAGGACCACCUGCCAGAUGCCAAGCGGGCCCACUGAGGGCUCCUUCGCCGGUGACUACACGUAACUCCUGGACCACAGGAAAGACUAGGAGUUCGUGAAGAUGCUCCUCGCCUUGGAGAAGCCUCCCAGGCUUUGUUUCCCUGACUGUGUAGAGGGCCGGACGCCAGACCACAUAGGUGUCGCCUCCGAGACCCCCGGGCAGGUUCCCCACGGAAAUCCCACCGGCCACGUCCUGCACCAGGUAAGCCUCCAGGAAAGCCCCCUAGGUUCUAAUCCCGGUUCCGCCCCUGUGUGACCUUAGCCAAGUCACUUCCCUCCUCGGUUCCUUCACCUGCAAGACGGGGAUUCGGUCCCUGUUCUCCUCCCGAGAGCCCCACGUGGGCUUCGAUCCACCCCAACACUUAGUACAGUGCUUGGCACUUCACAA